GACGAACGCUGGCGGCGUGCUUAACACAUGCAAGUCGAACGGAAAGGCCCUGCUUUUGUGGGGUGCUCGAGUGGCGAACGGGUGAGUAACACGUGAGUAACCUGCCCUUGACUUUGGGAUAACUUCAGGGAACUGGGGCUAAUACCGGAUAGGAUCUCCUGCUGCAUGGUGGUGGUUGGAAAGUUUCGGCGGUUGGGGAUGGACUAGCGGCUUAUCAGCUUGUUGGUGGGGUAGUGGCUUACCAAGGCUUUGACGGGUAGCCGGCCUGAGAGGGUGACCGGCCACAUUGGGACUGAGAUACGGCCCAGACUCCUACGGGAGGCAGCAGUGGGGAAUAUUGCACAAUGGGCGGAAGCCUGAUGCAGCAACGCCGCGUGCGGGAUGACGGCCUUCGGGUUGUAAACCGCUUUCGCCUGUGACGAAGCGUGAGUGACGGUAAUGGGUAAAGAAGCACCGGCUAACUACGUG
RNAcentral lists this ribosomal RNA (468 nucleotides) under uncultured bacterium. Its description in RNAcentral is "partial 16S ribosomal RNA". It matches the Rfam family "Bacterial small subunit ribosomal RNA", at positions 28 to 507 of the family's 1533-position model. The record is from RNAcentral.